This 484-nucleotide ribosomal RNA is filed under the name uncultured bacterium. Its description in RNAcentral is "partial 16S ribosomal RNA". It matches the Rfam family "Bacterial small subunit ribosomal RNA", at positions 29 to 507 of the family's 1533-position model. The record is from RNAcentral.
AGUGAACGCUGGCGGCAGGCCUAACACAUGCAAGUCGAGCGGCAGCGCGGGGGCAACCCUGGCGGCGAGCGGCGGACGGGUGAGGAAUUCGUCGGAAUCUGCCUUUUUGUGGGGGAUAACGUAGGGAAACUUACGCUAAUACCGCAUACGUCCUACGGGAGAAAGUGGGGGACCGCAAGGCCUCACGCAGAAAGAUGAGCCGACGACCGAUUAGCUAGUUGGUGGGGUAAAGGCCCACCAAGGCGACGAUCGGUAGCUGGUCUGAGAGGAUGAUCAGCCACACUGGGACGGAGACACGGCCCAGACUCCUACGGGAGGAAGCAGUGGGGAAUAUUGGACAAUGGGCGCAAGCCUGAUCCAGCCAUGCCGCGUGUGUGAAGAAGGCCUUCGGGUUGUAAAGCACUUUUGUCCGGAAAGAAAUCCCUGGAGCUAAUACCUUCGGGGGAUGACGGUACCGGAAGAAUAAGCACCGGCUAACUUCGUG